AUGAAUUCUCUCGUCGGCUAUGGCGUGUCCUCUGAUUCUGACAGCGAUGGGGAUAUUGUAAACAACAAGAAGACUGAGAGCAAGGUGGAUGGAGAGACCCAGAAGAAGGGCCGCAAUUUCCUCCUAGAGUCCGGGUCAGCCUCCAGUGAGUCGGACUGUGACUCCAACCCAGAGGAAGAGGUGAACCCCGUAUCUCAACUACAACCAAAACGCCCUCCUCCUUCCUGUAUGGGACCCCCCUCAGAGUCCCGUACCCCUCUCCUCCCCGCACCCCCUAGCUCCCUCUCCUACAAACUCCCCCCUCCCCCCCUCGGGGCCUCGUCCAAGAGUGGCGUAUUCGCCAACCCCUUCAAGGCUCAAGCCGACCAGAAGCUCAACGUCUUGCAGAAGCAUGUCCCUCUCACAGUGCAGGCCCGGCCCUCCCAGAUAGGGGGCAAGAGGAUGUGUGUGGCGUACAGGAAGGACGGACGCUGCAGGUUCGGGAUCAAAUGCAAGUUUGCCCACGACAGCGAUCUCCAGAGCUCCAUCAUUCCCAAUGACUAUGACCCCCCUGAGGAUGACGCUCCCGGAUCGCACCAAGCUGACCCCAACGCAGGAGGCUCUUCAUACAUGGGUCGCCAGAACUUUCACCACAACCAGGGAGGAGACCCUGAAGAGGAUGAGGGUCAGCAGUCUAGGAAGAGGAGAGUAGGGCUGAGUAACACCCUAGUGCCUCCUAAAAGGGCGUUGAAGAAUUAUGCAAUGCAGAGGAAGAGAGAACAGGUCAAUUUGAACUGAGCAACUUGCACAGGAAUACUGUCAGCAGCAAUACACUUUGUGUGUGUCUGUGUGUGUGUGUGUGUACGCGUGUGUGUGUGUGUGUGUGUAUACGCUCACAUUGUUUUAGUGUGUGACAAGAGAAAAUGGGAACAUGUUCCAAUUUUGUACCCCCCCCCCCCCAUGGAUGUAAAAGGAAUGGACUGGUGUAAAAAAUGGUUUAAACUUCUCCCUACCCAUGCUUACGAGUGAGCAAGUGCAAACGAAUCAGACGACAGCCAGAGAGUAUUCUAUACACCGCUUGUCAGUAUGCAAGAUAGGAUAACUAUACCACACUUCCAAACCUCUGUGCAGUCCAGUACAUGUACUUCAGAUUGGUAGUUUGUACAUGGAGUUUUUGUAGUUUCAUUGAAAACGUCUUUAUUUUGGAAGAACCUGUCCAUUGGAAAUAUCAGCUACAUUUUAUCAUUGUUAAAUAAAUGCUUUAAAUGUUUGUUAUUUGUGUUUGUGACCACUUAAUGAUACAUGGACAUAGGAACUGGAGAUACCAAUAAAGUUAUGGAUCAAGUUUAGGAAAAUAUAAUCAUUCAUUUAAACGGUUUUGCUUGAUUAGAGAAAGAUUGAAAGGAGAGGCAGCACAGGGUUACUUUUUUUUGAUCAGUUGCAACACACUCCGGCAUCAGUCACAAUGUAAGCACACACACUCAGCUCCUGCUUUUUGGGAUGGAUCUAUUUUUAGCCCCACACACCGGCGAUUGAUGCUUCUCCAGCCAAAAACUGCAAUGAAAGCCAAGAUCGAACGGAACAGACAGCGGGCUCUGAUGCUGAGGCAAGCCCGACUGGCUAGCGGACUAUUGGCAGGAGAGGGGGGGUGGCACCUCGGCUAGUCACAAAAAACAGACUCUUGAGGAGGGUUCUUCAUUGAUGAAGAAGAGGAGGGACAGGAGGAGCAAAGGGGGAAUAUGGUGGUGCGUCAACCAGGUAUGUACAUUUAUAACUAAUCAUAUGUUGCGUUAUGUCUAUCAGAGGUCAUCUAUCUAGCGGCUAUGCUCUCAUCUGUCAAAGAUGGUUCAUGUGUGCCCCCAAAUGGAUUCAUGCCAUAGCAAAUGCCAGUGGCUAAGUAGAGUCAGUUUCUUUCUAUAGCCCAGCUACCUGAAACAAUGGCCAUAACAACAACAACAUAAACAAAUAUCAAGAUUGUCACAAGAAACAACAGUAACAACAAUAAUCAAGGGCGCGUUUAACUUACUAGGGCACCCUGGCUGACUGACUCCUAGCACUCUGCAUUGGUCGUAAGUUGCUCUUGAUAAGAGCGUCUGCUAAAUGACAAAAAUAUCACAUGUAAAUGUACUAGUAGUGUAGACAGUGUUGAGUUAGCCUGGGCCCCAAGGAGUCCAGAGAAAACAGGGAGGUGCAGAAGCGCUUCAACACACAAAGGUCAAAGGUCAGUAACACUUUUUAAUAUAGAUCAAACCUACCAGCUCCAGUGGAUUGUGGAAAGCGGGUGAUGCAAUUUUGUUUCAUUAUUGAUUGAAAAGAUAAACCUGCACACUGAGCUUGCCACUUAUGUUUAUUCAAUGUUUUAGAUUGUUAUUUGCUCUGUUGUGAACCUGAGCUGUCGUGCAGUGAGGAGCAGCGUGUGGACAAAGGGCACCAGUGCUCACCAGCAUGACUACGGCCCUGAGGAACUAGUGGUUGAAGAGGAGGAUCUCUACAGGAAGGUAGAGGACACCAACUGACCUAUGAGCAGAUGAAGCUUAGUGUCCUUUAACCCUUAUCCCGGGGGCCCACAGGGUGAGUUUUUUUUUUUUUUUUUACCACUGGUUGACACCGGACACAGAAACUGAGAUUCAAAUAACUUACCAUGUACUUGACACAAUUCCUUGUAGCUGAAACAAGAUCUUCCUGAAAUCUUGUACAUGCCAUACACAAUGUGGCCACAAGAGGGCAGGCAUGCGUGAACAUUCCUCUACAUGUUGUGCUGCUCAGAAACUGGGGAUAGCUAUCGUACUAUUAAAUAUCAACUUGAUAAUUUCCCUUUUAUAUUGACAAUUUGUAAGAUAAUGUAGAAGGAUCUAUGUCUGAAAUAAAUAUUUUUCCAUCAUUUGAUGUUUUUGCAAUAAAAUGUAUAUUUAGUUGGAUUACUGUGGACGGAUUAAGCCAGGAUAAAAUAUGGAGUGGACUGUGGAAGAUCCGAAAGCGGUUGACAUUGAUGUCAAUUCCAAUUGAGCCUGACAUAUGCAGCAUUUACUUUGAAUGUGAUUUCCAUGACCUCUGUAAACAUUGCCCACAAAUUGUCCGUCUCUGAGCGAGUUCCUCUGCCCAGGCUUUGCCGAUGCAUGCCCGAUCUAUAGGCCUGAUUCAAUCAGAUCAAGUGAUCGCGAACACCCGCUUAGCUGGUGUUUUGGCGGCGUUGGAGGAAUAACUGCGUUAGAGCUGUCAAAUCAGUAAGCACACACCCAUCCCACUCGCAUUAGAUGUUCAGAAUGAGAAAGUGUAGGCUAUAUAGAAAUAAUGAAACUCAGAAAUCCUCCUUUCGUUGAAUGAUUUCCAAUCAACCUAAAUCAAGGUUUAGGCUAGAUAAGGCUACCAUCUCACAUUCCAGUGUUUUCUAACUUGUAAACAAGGCUGCAUGGGGAUUUCUUUCGAUGUGAUUCCGUGCAGCCAAUGGCAACUCUAGGUAUAACGGCGUAAGCCGCUUGUACAUUGAACAGCUCUAACGUAGUUCCACCUCCAAAACCACCACUAUAAGGGCGAUGGCUAGGGCAGAUCGGAUAGAAUCUAGGCCCUACUGUUAGAACCGAAAGUAGACAGUUUUGUUUCUUUGUUUGCCAUGGAAAAUUGAGGACCGUAAGUGUUGUGAUACUAGUAUCAUGAGGAUGGUGGGAGGAGGGGCUCAUUGUAAUGGCUGGAAUGGAAACUAUGGAACGGAGACAAACACACUAAACAUGGGAACGUGUUUGACUCGGUUCCAUCGAUUCCACUCCAGCCAUUGCAAUGAGCCAGUCCUAUAGCUCCUCCCACCAGCCUCUUCUGAUAAAUGCUAAACACACAAACACAGAAGGCCAGUUGAUGGGUAUAGAUGGCUACAUCACUUUAUGUACAAAGGCAACAACUCACACACACACACACAACUGCCCUGAUGUGGGUAGAUCUAAAAAGCUACCAAAAGUGACUAUAAAUACAUAUUUCUGUGAUCCUAUAUAUUUCAAAUGGUGCCACAAUACAUUAGGAGGGACAUCGCUAGACCUCUCAUUUUUUUACUGUCUUUCCCAGUUUCCCCUAACCUCGAAAUCCAGACUGAAUCACCUUAUGUUGUUUCACUUUCCUAAUUAGUGAUCGUAAAGUGAAACAGCUGAAUUCAGUUUGAAUUUCCAGGCU
Long non-coding RNA from Oncorhynchus mykiss (rainbow trout), 4137 nucleotides. Lineage: Eukaryota; Metazoa; Chordata; Actinopteri; Salmoniformes; Salmonidae. The record is from Ensembl.